RNAcentral lists this ribosomal RNA (403 nucleotides) under uncultured bacterium. RNAcentral's name for it is "partial 16S ribosomal RNA". It matches the Rfam family "Bacterial small subunit ribosomal RNA", at positions 30 to 526 of the family's 1533-position model. The record is from RNAcentral.
AUUGAACGCUGGCGGCAGGCCUAACACAUGCAAGUCGAGCGAGCGGCGGACGGGUGAGUAAUGUAUGGGGACUGCCCGUUAUAGGGGGAUAACAACUGGAAACGGUGGCUAAUACCGCAUACUGUAGGAUAACCCAUAGGGGAUUAGCUAGUAGGUAAGGUAAUGGCUUACCUAGGCGACGAUCCCUGGCUGGUCUGAGAGGAUGAUCCGCCACACUGGGACUGAGACACGGCCCAGACUCCUACGGAGGCAGCAGUGGGGAAUAUUGCACAAUGGGCGCAAGCCUGAUGCAGCCAUGCCGCGUGGAUGAAGAAGGCCCUAGGGUUGUAAAGUACUUUCGGUCGGGAGGCGUUACCGACAGAAGAAGCACCGGCUAACUCCGUGCCAGCCGCCGCGGUAAUAC